Long non-coding RNA from Ictidomys tridecemlineatus (thirteen-lined ground squirrel), 2307 nucleotides. RefSeq lists it as uncharacterized. NCBI's taxonomy places the organism in Eukaryota, Metazoa, Chordata, Mammalia, Rodentia, Sciuridae. The record is from RefSeq and is a predicted model, not a curated record.
UCAAUAAAUGGGAUGGUAUCAAAAAAUGGAUUUACCUAGCUGCUUGAAUUUUAAUUUAUUCUCUGGUUCCAAACAUAGUUGUAAUAAGACAUAAGACUCCUCUUACCUUGGUAUCUUUUUUUUCUGCGUCUUUUGUUCUUUUUCAGUAUACCUCGCCUUCUCUUGUUCUCCCCUUUCAUUUGGUUGUUUUGUUUCUUUAGUUGCUGGUUCUUUUUCAGUAUUCCUUGCCUUCCCUUGUUCUCCUCUUUCACCCUAGUACUAGGGCUACUGUGCAAACUCUGGUUUUGAUGACAUACCAUUUUGGGGACUUACAUAGGUGUAAUUCACAAGGGAUGGAGCAUUGUUUUCAGGGGGAACAAGGUCCACCCGUCUACAUUGACAGAGCUUUUCUUCAAGUUGAGAUGAGAAGACUUUACACUUGGGCAGCCAUGAUGUCAUAGAGGAGCCACGCCCUGCCUCCAGGUAUAAGUAAACUCAUAGCUCAUUGUGAAAUAGUGACUGUCCAUGUGAAGCCAGGACACGGUAACUUUUUCAGUGACUGCAAUUACUUCUACACAGUCCAGGUGAUUCAUAUAAAGUCUCUAUACUUCUAGGGAAAGACAGCCCAUUCUAUAGCCAUGGUAAAAGUCAGAUCCCUAACCAGUAUCUAAAGCUGUCCAAUCCAUUACUGAUCCCUCCCUGAAACACAGUGAGUAUUGUCACAAACGUGUCCCUAAGACAAACCUACCUCCAAAUCUGCAAUUUGCUUUGCUUUGAGACUGCCUGUUUCUUUUGACUUUAGAAAUUGUGUUAUGUUGGGUUAGGUGUAUAACUCGGUGGUAGAGUACAUGCUUAGGUAUGCAAGGCAUAAUGUUCUUAUACUUUAUUAGUUUUCCAUUAUUUCUUGUUUAUUUAUGCUUAUAGUGCAAAGUUCAAUCAUGUAUGUUAUGUACAAUACUAAAUUUGAUAGUUAUUGGGCAUAAAUGAAGGUAUAUUUUAGAUAGUCACAGGCUAGAAUAAGUAUGAUGUCCCUAAGAGAACUGGAUGAACAUUUCAUUUAUUCAAAAUUGUCAGUUCUUUCUGAUCUUGUGGUUUGAUUUUCUUUUUAAAUUUUCAAAGUCCUGCCUCUUAUGCCCCAUUCAACUUCUGAAUGUCCUCUUAAAAAUAUUUAAACCAACAUUUAGAUAUCUGGCAAUUUCACAUUUAAGUCCAGAGUUCCAUAUUUUCUAGAUAAAAUGGUAAUUUGGAUUCUGGGGUCUUCAUUUCUGCAUUGCAGCACUCAGCAGUAAGGAAGGAGCUUUUUGCUGCUGUGUUUAAAGAGAGUAUAGGCUUUCUUUCAUUACUAUGGUUUCAGAAUUUCCUAUGAUUGCCCCAACAGGGAGACAGAUAGUCAAUUUCCCUUUAUCAUCACUUUUCUUGACUUUUUUUUCUUAUAAUAGGGACCUAUUACUCUGCACACAAUUCUCUGUCAUUCAGUUGUUUGUGUUAAUUGGAUUGUAGCACAGAGUGAACUUUAGAGUUCGUUUAUGUGCUCUUAAAUUUGACCCCUUUUUACCAAUAAAAAGUAGCAGGGUGACAAACCCUUUACUAAUCAUUUUUGUGAUAAGACUUUUUUCCCAUUACUGGUAUGAUAUAUCUUGAUUUCAGAUUUUUUAAGGCUAUAAGUUUAAGUGUUCAUACCUCACUUUUGGGAAAGAUUUUGUCUUUUCUCCUAACUUCUUCUGCUAAUAGCAUAUUCUUUGUCUCUUGAGAAAAUAUUUUUAUCCCUGGCUUUAUACUACCAUAGACUAUAAAAAUGGUGUCAGAUUAUUUUACCCCUUCUAUCUAUGGUUCAUGGAAGUGCUCUUCUACACUGACUCUGGAUUGUUGUUAUGAAUUCCUUUGGCUGAUAGGACAUUAAAAACAUGAUGCAAGCAAAGACUUGGAGCACUGGGGCUUACUCUCUUGUUCAGUUUGGGAACUCUGUCAUUAUCACUAUGUGAAUGAGUCUGAGUGAACCUGCUGGAUGAUGAGACAUACAUGCAAAAGCCAAAAUAUUUAUGUAGACAUCAGACCUGGAGGCUUAUGAUUGAAACAGGAGGUGGAGAAUGCUAGAAUCAUGUUCAUAUCAUGCUGACUACAUGUGAAGAGAAAUUGAAGCCCUUUAAAGCCCUCAUCAAUGAUCAAAUCGGCAACAGGAGUGGAGAAAAGAUUUGGAAAUACAAGGGGAAGAACUGAAGGAACAGGAGCAAGGGAUAUUGCUGUUGUUCCUGUGUUGGGGACCACAUUUUACACAUUAUGCGGGACACUGCAAAUAAUGUUACACAGAUACAUAAGAAUGCAUGGAAC